Molecule: ribosomal RNA, 465 nt
Filed under: uncultured bacterium
Lineage: Bacteria
Description: partial 16S ribosomal RNA
Rfam family: Bacterial small subunit ribosomal RNA
Source: RNAcentral
GACGAACGCUGGCGGCGUGCUUAACACAUGCAAGUCGAACGGAAAGGCCCUGCUUGCAGGGUACUCGAGUGGCGAACGGGUGAGUAACACGCGGGUGAUCUGCCCUGCACUUCGGGAUAAGCCUGGGAAACUGGGUCUAAUACCGGAUAGGAGCCAUUCUUAGUGUGAUGGUUGGAAAGUUUUUUCGGUGUAGGAUGAGCUCGCGGCCUAUUAGCUUGUUGGUGGGGUAAUGGCCUACCAAGGCGGCGACGGGUAGCCGGCCUGGGAGGGUGGACGGCCACAUUGGGGCUGGGGUACGGCCCAGACUCCUACGGGGGGCAGCAGGGGGGAAUAUUGCACAAUGGGCGCAAGCCUGAUGCAGCGACGCCGCGGGGGGGAUGACGGCCUUCGGGUUGUAAACUCCUUUCGCUAGGGACGAAGCUUUUUGUGACGGUACCUAGAUAAGAAGCACCGGCUAACUACGUG